AGGAACAGAGCAGAAUCACCAGGACUUAUGGGUAGCAGGAUGCGAUGCAGGAACAGCAGGAGACGAAGCCAAUCAGUCAGUGUGAGACUUCAGACGCUGCUCUUGGCCCAAGAAGACAAACCAAGACUUCCCCCACCGAGACCUCGGGUCUCCGACGUCCUUCCCCUGCUGCCUAGCCAGAUGCCCGGUCUUGUCUGCUAGACCAAAGCUGGAAGCCAUGAACUGCUAUGCUUCUGUGCACAAGGAACUGGGCCUUCAUUAUAGUAUGUAAGAGUGUAUACUAACACGUAUCUGUAGCUUCCUGGUGAAACGUGCUUCAGAUGAACACCAAGUGCUCUCCCAUAACUCCACACAUCCACAAUCAAAACAAACCAGCGGCCUGUAAUUCGGGACCUGACCACCUUAUGUUCAGUGACAGAAACCACCUGCCUGGGGCUUUUCCCUUGUUCUAACCCAAAAUUAACAGGGAGAGGAACGGAACACUUGGGCAUCUCCGUGGAGUUUGUUUUUUAAUCCUACUUGAUGCAGCCGUCCAAACCUAAUUAGCUGCUGGCUACACAGAGCGGGGAUGAGGUUAAUUACAUGUCACUAGCUGCUGUGGGUCCCUUUCAUUGUUGCUAGUGUUUCUGUUAUUUUUACACAUAAGAGACAGGCUUCAUUCAAAAGCCAAACUCAUCAGAUGAAAGGUAUUUGCCAGGCAUCUCUGUACCAAUGCACUUUUAAUUGGUUAAAGAAAGACCCAAGGACAACAUUAAUAACCAUCUGCUUACUUCUCUGAAGAGCCUACCUCUCUGUUCUGUUUCCACUGGGGGCCUUUCUCCAGGAAAAAUCCAGAAUGUUCAUAACGUGCUCAUCCCACCAAUGCUGCUGUCAAGACGAUCAGAGCCACAGCCCAGUGAUGCAGCCUGCGGCAGCCUGAGGUUAGGGACCUCAGCUCAGGCAAAACCGGGUCCUUAGCUUUAAUGCAGGAAAGACCUUUGGAUGAGUCAGUACAAGAUGAGAGCUGGAAUUUAUGAAAAGAUCUGAAUACGGAUUUAAAGCACGAGGGUCAAGAGUGUGCAGAUUCUUAACAUUGUUUUUAUGUGUAUGGGUGUUCUGCCUGCCUCUUGUGUCUGCACACCACGUGCAUGCCUAGUGCUCCUGGAAACCGGAAGAGGGUAUCAGAUCUCCUGGAACUAUUGUUAUAGACAGUUGUAAGCAGCUGUGUGGAUGUUGCAAAUCAAACCAGGGUCCUCUGGAAGAGCAACUGGUAUUCUUAACUGCUGAGCUAUCUCUCUAGCCCCAUAUGCAAAUUCAAUAAAAGUUUAAGUUCGUGUUGUUGUGUUGGGUCUUACAAAUCCUGGCUCGUCUAGAAUUCACCAUGUGGCCCAAAGUGGCAUCUCACUCUACUCUUGCCUUAGCUUCCUGUGUGCUGGGAUUCUGGUUUAAGACAAUACUCCUGUGUUUGUUUGCUUUGCUUUUGUUUUGUUUUGUCUUCUUGGAGACAGGAUCUCACUGUAACCCUAAGUAGCCCAAGACUGACUGUGUAGACAAGGCUGGUUUCGAACUCGGAGAGAUCCUCCUGCUUCUGCCUACUGAGGGCUGGGAUUAAAGAUGUGUGCCACCACGCCCAGCUUAAACGCAUUCUACUGUAAGUGCACGUAUGCCUGUGGUGACCAAAAGAGGCUGCUGGGUUUCCUGGAGCUGGAGUUAGAGGGGUUGUGAGCCACUCCACCUAGGUACGUAGAUCCAAACUUAGGUUUUCUGCAAGAGUGGUAUACACUCUUACGCGACGAGCCAUCUCGCCAACCCCAGCCCAGAUUUUGUUUGUUUGUUUAAGAUUCUAGAGUUUCACCAGGAUAUACUUUAAGAACCCACUUUCAUCUUAAUUGUUCAGCCGAUUUUAUAUGAUGUACGAACUAAAAUUAAUGUCAUCAAGGAAACAUGACAGCAGGGAGGCUGAAUGUCCAUUAUGUUCCUGAAAGCAUCAGGGGGAAUCCAGAAAUGUGAAGAAAACUGAAGAGGCAACAUUUCCAGUGCACUUACUGUUGCUGCUGGCCACAUUGAAGCCUUUACCUUGGCACCACAUUUCCAAAGUAGGAAACGCACAAGAAGAGAGUUAUGGACUUUCAAAGACAGGAUUAUCACAGCAUGACACCGGGCCUGCUUACAAUGAUCUAGAUGCCGAGUGUUUGAGGAUUACUGAGCACACAGAUUUACAAAGCAUCCAGGCUGGGAGUGGAGCCCCGGUCAGCCAGGCUGGGAGUGGAGCCUGAGUAACAUGGAUGGGUCAGUCAGGCUGGAAGUGGAGCCUUGAUGAGAUGGAUGGGUCUGCAAGAACACAUCAGGACACCUAUGAUAGUGACUUUCAGAAGCCAUUUGUCUACCUCACUGGGGUCUAUUUAACCUUGCCAGUGUAGAUUCUAAGAGUUAAAAUGCAACUUAAAGUUUGAGGCCCACUACACAACUGGGGCCGGAAGUGAUGAAAUCAUCACGUCAAUGUUGACACAUGUGAUUCUCCUGCAGUGACUCCAAGCAACAGGACACGGUGUUUAUAAUGACUGCAGUUAAAAUGCAAAAUUUCCAUAACUUCACGUUCAGUGACUUCAUUCUCAAAGGCUGCAGACCGACUGGACUUUGGCCACUACUAUCACUGGGAAGCUGUAAUCUAGAAUCUAGAGCUGUGUGGAAGAAGCGGUCUCUGGACUGUCUAGGAACUCCGAUGAGCCUGUGUCCUAUAAGGACUUUCCCAGGAGGGAAGGGACACCCACAGCCUUAGCCCUGCCUUUGGGUCAGCCUGCCUUUGCCAUCACAGUUCGGGCGUGGCUCUUCCUCAUGUCCCCAACCUGGGAACCUCUUGUUUAACCCACAGGUAGUGUUUUUCCAAUGGCCUCGUUGGCACACAGGAAAGUGUCAGAUGGCCCUGUCUGCAGUUAGCAAGAGUAGUCAUAAAUCAUUUAACGGCAGGACACACAGGGGUCACCCUGAGAAGUGUACUGUGAGAAUUCCACUUACUAUGUGAUCCCUAAGCCUAGAAGAUAAAGCCAACUGCUCGCCCAGCCACACAGUGUGUCUGAUACAACUAACGAAGGACCCCUGCACCCACAUGCACAGAAACAGUGUGAGGUUAAAUCACACCAAGAGUCAAGGUUGGCUGGGGUGUGGUUCAGCCGGUAGGGUGCUCGGUUUGAGUAUUCAGGGCCCUAGCUCCUAUCCCCAGGACCACAUAAAACAGGAAUAACAGAGCACACCUGGAAUCCCAGCACCCGGGAGCUGGGGGGCAGAAGGACUAGGAGGUCAAGGUCACUCUUUGUUAAGUGACUUUGAGAGGCUGUGUGCCAAGGCUUGGUGUAGACUGAAUCUGGGACAUCCCUUCAGGAUGGUCCCCAGCUCCGGGGUUAGGAAGUGAUUCCAUCACGAGGGCUCUGCCUUCACAGAAGGAUUGAGCCAAUGACAGGUUUGAAUCCUGAAUAGAUGGUUGGGAGGUGGUGGAACUGUGGAAGCUGGGGCCUGGCUGGAAGAAGUAGGUCACUGGGUCACUGAGGGGUGUCUCGUCCUGACUCCUCCCCUUUCCUGCUCACUAAAAUCUGAGGUACUCCACUCCACUAUGCACAAAACCGUGGGGACAGUGAACAAGAUCAACCUGGCCUUCCUUCAGUUGUCCUCCUGAACUCCUGUUUUAUCAGUGAGAACGCAUCCUCAAAUAAGGAUGGGAGGAAAACACCGACACACAACAGACCUCUUUCCUCCUUGCAGUGACCAAAGAAAACAGGCAGCUUAAAGGAGGACAGGUGGAUUUUGGCUCACAUUUUGGGCAAUAUGAUCUAGUAUGGUAUAAAGCACGGUGCCAGGAACACCAGACCCAGCUGACCGUGUUGCAUCCCCCAGGAGAGAAACCGACAUCAGGGAGGAGUUUGGACUUAUCAACCAAAUGUCAGGGUCCACCCACAGUGACCCACUUCCUCCAGUGAGACUCCACCUUCUAAAGGUUUACCAAGCUCCCCCAAACAGGGGGGCAUUUUAACAUUCAAAGUAUAGCAGUGUGCCGUAUCCUAUGUGUGCUGGAUGGAGCGCCGUGUCAGGUUUGCUGACACCAGGGAGCCAUGGUGCUGUAAUGUUGUCCUGGCUACAGUAUCGCUCAUCAUUUGAAUUUUUUCAGCUUUAUUAUCACGUCACAGGACCAAUUUGUGCACGCCGUCCAUCACAGACUGAGAUGUGGUCACGGGUAUGUGGUAAUUCACAAGAACAUUCAUCCUCCGAGGAGUUGCCCGCAAAGGGGGACUCCUGAGCAGAGAGGAGCAGCAAGCAGUCUCAGAGUUUACAGAUGGAGCUGCGUCUGUCUCUUAUACAACCUGCUCUUCACAGCCAGGGCUCAGCACAGCACAGGGCACCGGUGAUGGUUCUGACUUACCCCUACCUCACCGCCUACACCCUGGGUUCUCAGGUGUGGGGACUUACGGCGCUGAGAUAGGGCCCUGACUCAGCUGCUGUGAUUCCGUAGGAGACAGACGCUUGUUCUCACAGCCUGAGCCAACGCUGACAUCCUAACCUUUCUGUGUCCCAGUGUCCCGGGAGGGAUGAAUGGAGAGACACACAGCAUGCAGACAGCAAUCACAGCCUCCCCCCGGAGCAAGCCCAGCUGCCUUGAGCGACAGAAAUCACUGUCCGGGUCAAUAAUGCAAAAUCAAGAAAUAAUGGCUUUCGUUGUCUGAGAUAAUAAAAUGACAGCACCAACC
RNAcentral lists this small RNA (4715 nucleotides) under Rattus norvegicus (Norway rat). RNAcentral describes it as "uncharacterized LOC108348970". Lineage: Eukaryota; Metazoa; Chordata; Mammalia; Rodentia; Muridae. The record is from RNAcentral.